This 507-nucleotide ribosomal RNA is filed under the name uncultured bacterium. RNAcentral's name for it is "partial 16S ribosomal RNA". It matches the Rfam family "Bacterial small subunit ribosomal RNA", at positions 28 to 523 of the family's 1533-position model. The record is from RNAcentral.
GAUGAACGCUAGCUACAGGCUUAACACAUGCAAGUCGAGGGAAACGAUAUUGGAAGCUUGCUUCCGAUAGGCGUCGACCGGCGCACGGGUGAGUAACGCGUAUCCAACCUGCCCACCACUUGGGGAUAACCUUGCGAAAGUAAGGCUAAUACCCAAUGAUAUCUCAAGAAGACAUCUGAAAGGGAUUAAAGAUUUAUCGGUGAUGGAUGGGGAUGCGUCUGAUUAGCUUGUUGGCGGGGUAACGGCCCACCAAGGCGACGAUCAGUAGGGGUUCUGAGAGGAAGGUCCCCCACAUUGGAACUGAGACACGGUCCAAACUCCUACGGGAGGUAGCAGUGAGGAAUAUUGGUCAAUGGGCGAGAGCCUGAGCCAGCCAAGUAGCGUGCAGGAUGACGGCCCUAUGGGUUGUAAACUGCUUUUAUAAGGGAAUAAAGUGAGCCUCGUGAGGCUUUUUGCAUGUACCUUAUGAAUAAGGACCGGCUAAUUCCGUGCCAGCAGCCGCGGUAA